GGCUGGGUAGCUCAGUGGAUGAGAGCCAAGCCUAGAGGUGGGAGGUCCUAGGUUCGAAUCCAGCCUCAGCCA
This is a transfer RNA of Monodelphis domestica (gray short-tailed opossum), 72 nucleotides long. It matches the Rfam family "tRNA". From Rfam's summary of the family: Transfer RNA (tRNA) molecules are approximately 80 nucleotides in length. Their secondary structure includes four short double-helical elements and three loops (D, anti-codon, and T loops). The record is from Rfam. Lineage: Eukaryota; Metazoa; Chordata; Mammalia; Didelphimorphia; Didelphidae.